Molecule: non-coding RNA, 2252 nt
Organism: Monodelphis domestica (gray short-tailed opossum)
Lineage: Eukaryota; Metazoa; Chordata; Mammalia; Didelphimorphia; Didelphidae
Source: RefSeq, a predicted model, not a curated record
AUUCUGGGUAGCAAGAGUUGGUUGGGGUUUUCCAACUGCCAGAGGCCUCCUGGAGGUUUUUUCCUAUGAGGAAGUUGGUAUUUCUGUUUCCUGGAACACUGAAAAAACCUAGUGGCAGGUGAAGGAAGAGAACAGAGAGGUGGCUCUGGCAGCAGCUUGCUGAGCUUGCUGCAGAAGCAGCUUGGUGUGGAGGCAGCUAUUGUCCAGGUUGGCGUACUAUAUCAAGUGGAAGACUGAUUGAUCCUCUAUGACUAUCACAAAACCCAUCAAUAUUCAGAGCUCUCUAUUUUGGGGAGACCCAAUAAAGAAUGUGUUCUGACCAUUUUUUGUACCAAUGAAACAUCAGAAUAGGAUUUCAAUGGGAGAGAGAUACACCAGACUACAACAUAAGGACAGCGCUUGGAAAACAUGAAAAUGUUCCAUAAUUACUAGUUGUUACCAAAUAUAUCCUUUAAUACACAUCCUAUUAAAAUAUUUAACAUCAUUCAAAUAACAAAUGAACACAAUUUUUCUUGAUUUCUGGAAACAUGUCUAUGAUCUUUUUUUUGCAAAUAAUAUUGAUUGUUUUAUCUUAAAAGUUAUUUGGCAAGGUUAAGCCAUAAUUUGACUUAAAAAGUUGUCACUUGUAAACAAAGUCACUGAGGAAAAAUAUACUAAAAGAAUCCCAAACUCACUUUUUUCAGAGAAUGUCAGGAAAGAGGACCAGAUUUUUACCCAUGUGGGAAGAACCCCUUCAGCAAGCUGUAACUAAUUUAUAACUUCUGAUCUUAGUUGUUCCUUGAGACACUUAGAAAUGAAAUGACUUGGACAUGACCACAUAUCCAAUUAAUGAAGAGUCAGGAGAGAGCUGUAUCCAUUAUGUUACACUGUCUCUCUCCAAAGAGCACAUCAAAGAAAAUUAUUUAAAUACCUAACAAAUAAAUUGAGAGAUAAAGUGUUGCUUCAGGGGUACACUACAUACCUUUCUGUAAUGUAAAAAAACAUACCAAAAAUCUGUCAAAACAUUAGAUCAGAAUUAAUGUCCUCCCACAGGCAAAAGCUCCUAGCAUUUACAUUGUCCAGAGAACAAUUUGACUUGUCUAGAGUUGCUGAGCAAGGCAAUGCUUCCCAAGUAGACAAAGUCUGGCUAUCUAUGAGCAUCAUUUCAUUACUCACCAUUUCAAAUGUGAGUAAAUUAAACAGAGAACGGGAUGACAGCAGGGCUAUGAAGAAUGCAUAUGGGAUUGGGACUAUGUUAGAAACCAAUCUCAUGUGACAAGAAAAAAGGCAAAGGGUAUUGGAAGACUCUAUAUGGCUGUGUAUCAAUAUAGGAAUGCUCAAAGAAGAUUUAAAAUGAGGACCUAAAGCUUAUAUCAUCUUUCUCAUGACAUUCUGUGUUAGGCGUCUCUGUAUAUGACAGCAUUCAGAACAUAAAUAAAAGUAAUGAUGAUCACAUGGGUACCUAUAAAAUGACCAUACUCUAAUAAAUCUAAAAUUCAGAUACACUUACCAUUCAGUGGUUGGGAAAUUUAAUGUGGGCAAAGCAACUGAGAGUUUCUCAGUGCUGUGCUGUUUUUAUUUUAUUUUAUUUUUGUAAAUGGGUGAAGUCUUUCCCAUGAACCCAUUUCAUUACAAUUUGCUUAUUGCCUCUAAAACUCCCAGAAUGUACAGAAUAGAAUAAUAGGAUAAAAAUUUUGAUACACCCUAAUUGGAUCUCGAGCUCUAUUGCUAUGUCAAGUUAAAAAGGCUUCGAGUUUGUAAGAUGCUCUAAAUUUCAGUGACAAUUUAUCAGGUCCAUGGCAAUCUCCAGUGGAAUCAGAUACAUCUUGAUGAACUGAAUACAACUUUAGGCAUGGGAGAAGAAAAUAGAAAUGAUGAUGGAAGACUCGGCUUCCCUAGAGUGAAGAGAACAGAUGGAAAAUUAGAAGUAGAUGAAGGAGGUGAUAUAGUAAAGGUUAAAUGGUCGGCCACUUUCAAAUCAAUGUAAACAGCUUGAGCCUGACAUAGAGCCAACAAGAGAACAUAUUGGAAAGGGAAAAAACUGUGGUCAAAGCAGCAGGUGAGAAAGAUUAUAUUAGUAGCAAUAUUUUAGAUUGCCUGCAAGGGUAAAGAGUUGGAUCUCAUCUGUGAAAUAUCAUAAUUUCAUAGUGUGGAUUUUUUGUUUUGAAAAAAUAAUCCUAACUUAAGGGUAACUAUUUCUCUAUUUGCAAAAUACCUCUUGUUACAACAUAAUAAAAACCUGGCUUACAAAACUAAUUUAUUUAAUAAAAAAA